UGGGGAAUUUUGGACAAUGGGCGAAAGCCUGAUCCAGCAAUGCCGCGUGUGUGAAGAAGGCCUUCGGGUUGUAAAGCACUUUUGUCCGGAAAGAAAUCCUUGGCUCUAAUACAGUCGGGGGAUGACGGUACCGGAAGAAUAAGCACCGGCUAACUACGUGCCAGCAGCCGCGGUAAUACGUAGGGUGCAAGCGUUAAUCGGAAUUACUGGGCGUAAAGCGUGCGCAGGCGGUUUGCUAAGACCGAUGUGAAAUCCCCGGGCUCAACCUGGGAACUGCAUUGGUGACUGGGCAGGCUAGAGUAUGGCAGAGGGGGGUAGAAUUCCACGUGUAGCAGUGAAAUGCGUAGGAGAUGUGGAGGAAUACCGAUGGCGAAGGCAGCCCCCUGGGCCAAUACUGACGCUCAUGCACGAAAGCGUGGGGAGCAAACAGGAUUAGAUACCCUGGUAGUCCACGCCCUAAACGAUGUCAACUAGUUGUUGGGGAUUCAUUCCUUAGUAACGUAGCUAACGCGUGAAGUUGACCGCCUGGGGAGUACGGUCGCAAGAUUAAAACUCAAAGGAAUUGACGGGGUCAUA
This 576-nucleotide ribosomal RNA is filed under the name uncultured bacterium. Its description in RNAcentral is "partial 16S ribosomal RNA". It matches the Rfam family "Bacterial small subunit ribosomal RNA", at positions 355 to 923 of the family's 1533-position model. The record is from RNAcentral.